GAUCCUGGCUCAGGAUGAACGCUAGCGGCAGGCCUAACACAUGCAAGUCGAGGGGCAGCACGUUAAAGAGUUUACUCUUUAUGGUGGCGACCGGCUGACGGGUGCGUAACGCGUAUGCAACCUGCCUGACACAGGGGGAUAAUCCGAGGAAAUUUGGUCUAAUACCCCAUAAUACCGAUAUAGGCAUCUAUGUUGGUUGAAAGCUUUGGUGGUGUCAGAUGGGCAUGCGUUGUAUUAG
Molecule: ribosomal RNA, 238 nt
Filed under: uncultured bacterium
Lineage: Bacteria
Description: partial 16S ribosomal RNA
Rfam family: Bacterial small subunit ribosomal RNA
Source: RNAcentral